UGCAAGUCGAACGGCAGCAUGAUCUAGCUUGCUAGAUUGAUGGCGAGUGGCGAACGGGUGAGUAAUACAUCGGAACGUGCCCUGUAGUGGGGGAUAACUAGUCGAAAGAUUAGCUAAUACCGCAUACGACCUGAGGGUGAAAGUGGGGGACCGCAAGGCCUCAUGCUAUAGGAGCGGCCGAUGUCUGAUUAGCUAGUUGGUGGGGUAAAGGCCCACCAAGGCGACGAUCAGUAGCUGGUCUGAGAGGACGAUCAGCCACACUGGGACUGAGACACGGCCCAGACUCCUACGGGAGGCAGCAGUGGGGAAUUUUGGACAAUGGGCGAAAGCCUGAUCCAGCAAUGCCGCGUGUGUGAAGAAGGCCUUCGGGUUGUAAAGCACUUUUGUCCGGAAAGAAAUGGCUCUGGUUAAUACCUGGGGUCGAUGACGGUACCGGAAGAAUAAGGACCGGCUAACUACGUGCCAGCAGCCGCGGUAAUACGUAGGGUCCAAGCGUUAAUCGGAAUUACUGGGCGUAAAGCGUGCGCAGGCGGUUGUGCAAGACCGAUGUGAAAUCCCCGAGCUUAACUUGGGAAUUGCAUUGGUGACUGCACGGCUAGAGUGUGUCAGAGGGGGGUAGAAUUCCACGUGUAGCAGUGAAAUGCGUAGAGAUGUGGAGGAAUACCGAUGGCGAAGGCAGCCCCCUGGGAUAACACUGACGCUCAUGCACGAAAGCGUGGGGAGCAAACAGGAUUAGAUACCCUGGUAGUCCACGCCCUAAACGAUGU
This 767-nucleotide ribosomal RNA is filed under the name uncultured microorganism. RNAcentral describes it as "bacterial SSU rRNA". It matches the Rfam family "Bacterial small subunit ribosomal RNA", at positions 56 to 812 of the family's 1533-position model. The record is from RNAcentral.